Molecule: ribosomal RNA, 253 nt
Filed under: uncultured bacterium
Lineage: Bacteria
Description: partial 16S ribosomal RNA
Rfam family: Bacterial small subunit ribosomal RNA
Source: RNAcentral
UACGUAGGGUGCAAGCGUUAAUCGGAAUUACUGGGCGUAAAGCGUGCGCAGGCGGUUUUGCAAGUCCGAUGUGAAAUCCCCGGGCUUAACCUGGGAACUGCAUUGGUGACUGCACGGCUAGAGUGUGUCAGAGGGGGGUAGAAUUCCACGUGUAGCAGUGAAAUGCGUAGAGAUGUGGAGGAAUACCGAUGGCGAAGGCAGCCCCCUGGGAUAACACUGACGCUCAUGCACGAAAGCGUGGGGAGCAAACAGG